RNAcentral lists this ribosomal RNA (243 nucleotides) under uncultured bacterium. Its description in RNAcentral is "partial 16S ribosomal RNA". It matches the Rfam family "Bacterial small subunit ribosomal RNA", at positions 91 to 334 of the family's 1533-position model. The record is from RNAcentral.
CGGACCGGCGCACGGUGAGUAACGCGUAUGCAACCUACCUAUCAGGAGGGGAUAACCCGGCGAAAGUCGGACUAAUACCGCAUAAAACAGGGGUUCCACAUGGAAAUAUUUGUUAAAGAUUUAUCGCUGAUAGAUGGGCAUGCGUUCCAUUAGAUAGUUGGUGAGGUAACGGCUCACCAAGUCUACGAUGGAUAGGGGUUCUGAGAGGAAGGUCCCCCACACUGGUACUGAGACACGGACCAG